GCCCCCGUGGCGGAAUUGGUAGACGCGCUCGACUCAAAAUCGAGUUCCCAAAAGGAGUGUCCGUUCGACCCGGACCGGGGGCACCA
RNAcentral lists this transfer RNA (86 nucleotides) under Sphingomicrobium sp. RNAcentral's name for it is "tRNA-Leu". It matches the Rfam family "tRNA". Rfam says of the family: Transfer RNA (tRNA) molecules are approximately 80 nucleotides in length. Their secondary structure includes four short double-helical elements and three loops (D, anti-codon, and T loops). Further hydrogen bonds mediate the characteristic L-shaped molecular structure. tRNAs have two regions of fundamental functional importance: the anti-codon, which is responsible for specific mRNA codon recognition, and the 3' end, to which the tRNAs corresponding amino acid is attached (by aminoacyl-tRNA synthetases). tRNAs cope with the degeneracy of the genetic code in two manners: having more than one tRNA (with a specific anti-codon) for a particular amino acid; and 'wobble' base-pairing, i.e. permitting non-standard base-pairing at the 3rd anti-codon position. RNAcentral also lists the same sequence under 2 other names. The record is from RNAcentral. Lineage: Bacteria; Pseudomonadati; Pseudomonadota; Alphaproteobacteria; Sphingomonadales; Sphingomicrobiaceae.